RNAcentral lists this ribosomal RNA (214 nucleotides) under uncultured bacterium. RNAcentral describes it as "partial 16S ribosomal RNA". It matches the Rfam family "Bacterial small subunit ribosomal RNA", at positions 1287 to 1500 of the family's 1533-position model. The record is from RNAcentral.
CUCAGUUCGGACUGUGGUCUGCAACUCGACCACACGAAGCUGGAAUCGCUAGUAAUCGCGAAUCAGCAUGUCGCGGUGAAUACGUUCCCGGGUCUUGUACACACCGCCCGUCACACCAUGGGAGUCAGCAACGCCCGAAGUCAGUGACCUAACCGAAAGGAAGGAGCUGCCGAAGGCGGGGCAGGUAACUGGGGUGAAGUCGUAACAAGGUACC